Long non-coding RNA from Nicotiana attenuata, 895 nucleotides. RefSeq lists it as uncharacterized. The record is from RefSeq and is a predicted model, not a curated record. Lineage: Eukaryota; Viridiplantae; Streptophyta; Magnoliopsida; Solanales; Solanaceae. The transcript has 5 exons.
UGUUUUUCCAAAACAAACUCGUCGGCCUGCAUCCUGCCCUAGUCUCAAAACACAAGAACGCUGCUCUGCCUCUUUCUAUCAAUCUCUCCGAAUAUUUGUUUUCUCAAAGUAAGGGUUACGAAUUGAUUUGUGAAUCGAAAGCCUGCCCUAAUUUUCAACCUCUCUUUGCGAAUUCAGGGCGGGAAAGAUGGCAAUCCACCAGAUUUGGCAACAAUUUUCUUUGAGACUCGUAAGAAAAAUAACAAGCUUGUUGAACCUGAAGCAAUUGAAAAACAUGCUCAGAUUGAAGAAAUAGUUCAAUCUGAUCCAUCUUUACCUACCAUAGAGAUAGUAGAAAAAUAUUGUGGACCUCAAACUCGUAGCCAUGUAUUUGGCUUUGGGAUGGAGUAAAGGCGAAAGACUUGAAAGGUGGCACUUCUUCAAAGGCUGAAUUACUGUCCGUGCUACGUUCAACUCGAGAGGAAAAUAAAUCUUUGAAUGAGGAAAACAAAUCCUUACAUGAUCGCUUGUCUACCUUAGAAGAUGAGAUGAAAGAAAUGAGGAAAAUAAAGGAAUACUUCGCUGCUAAACAAUCACAUGUCUCGCCUUCGACAUCGCACGUUUCAACUGAAUGACCACUACUUUUGUCUGCUGACCAACCUUGUUGAUAUUGCUGGAUAACACUUGAUGAAUUUAGACUGCUUUUGGGGUUGUGAAGAUUGAAACUACAAGUCAAGAUGCAAGUUUGGAAGAUACACAAGCUCAUUAUUAUUUUGCUAUGUAAAACUUGAUAUCAUAUAGUCUAGCUCAGGAUGUUAGCUAAGUUUUUUUGUUAAGGUGUCGAGCAAAUACUGAAACUAACAUCAUGGGAUGUUAACAUUGCAAUUAAUAACUUUAUUACCUUUUUAUAUCUAGA